Molecule: transfer RNA, 72 nt
Filed under: Camelus bactrianus (Bactrian camel)
Lineage: Eukaryota; Metazoa; Chordata; Mammalia; Artiodactyla; Camelidae
Also listed under: 1 other name
Rfam family: tRNA
About the family: Transfer RNA (tRNA) molecules are approximately 80 nucleotides in length.
Source: Rfam by way of RNAcentral
GAGGCUAGAGCUCAGUGGUAAAGGGCGUGCUUAGUGUGCAUGAGGUCCUGGGUUCAAUGCCCAGUACCUCCA